RNAcentral lists this ribosomal RNA (229 nucleotides) under uncultured bacterium. RNAcentral describes it as "partial 16S ribosomal RNA". It matches the Rfam family "Bacterial small subunit ribosomal RNA", at positions 568 to 796 of the family's 1533-position model. The record is from RNAcentral.
UGCGUAGGCGGGCUAAUAAGUCAGUGUUGAAAUCUCUCGGCUCAACCGGGAAACUGCCAUUGAUACUGUUAGUCUUGAGUUCGGUUGAGGUAGGCGGAAUGUGUAAUGUAGCGGUGAAAUGCUUAGAUAUUACACAGAACACCAAUUGCGUAGGCAGCUUACUAGACCGACACUGACGCUGAGGCACGAAAGCGUGGGGAGCGAACAGGAUUAGAUACCCUGGUAGUCC